Molecule: long non-coding RNA, 1126 nt
Filed under: Lepisosteus oculatus (spotted gar)
Lineage: Eukaryota; Metazoa; Chordata; Actinopteri; Semionotiformes; Lepisosteidae
Description: lncRNA (ENSLOCG00000023241.1)
Source: RNAcentral
AAAAAAGCGAGAUAGCAAAAAAAAAAAUCUCACGGGCGUGCGCUGAAACAGCGGCUUUACCUUGCAACAGGAAGGCGGGGAAAAAGAGGAAAAAACAGCGAGCAACAGGCUGUGGCUCCGGGCAGAAACCUCAACCCCUGUCCCCUCGCUCACCUGCUCGCAAGCGUGCCUCCCACACGCACCGAGCGCCGCCCGUGACAGAAAAAAACCAAACCACCUUCGGGAAGACGCACCGCACCAACAACAAGCAGACAAAACAGAAACGAAGGCGAUCCAACACACACUUCCUUUCGUCGCACAGACAAGGCGCAAAGAAAGUCCUGGCUUAUCCCACCUUUUCUGACUAUACAUCUCAAUGCGGAAGACUGGGCUUAAUGGAGCUGCUGCAGAUCCAGACCUCUGCCUGCCAUCAGAUAGGGUGGAAAUGGAUGACCUGGCUUAAGAUGGAUUUCUGAGAGUCUGCAUCACCUUCUCAAUCUUCCUGAUGCUUUGAGGCUUUUAUCACUGCUACACUGCCUGGAAGGCUGAGACACUUUCUUAACCCGCCUAAGCAAGAAUCAUGAAUAUGGCAUCGACUCCUCUUCAACCAUGCUUAAUUAUGAAAGGUACAGUUUUGCUCUUUAGCUGGAUUUCUAGUUUUCAAGCCUACACUGAAUACUGAAGAGCAAGAGGUACUUGGUGCAUCUAACACAACUGCCUUGAACAGUGUCUGCCAAACUCUGUUUUGAAAGCAAGGUUCUUCUGUCUGUCCAAAGGUAUUUUUUUUCAACUAGGCAGGCAGGAAACAAGUCUGGUGAAAACAAGAGGACUGGUCCAACUGAUUACCAUUAAUAGCUUCAUUUACAAAUCCCGGGAGACGAUCAAGAAAGAAAUUUGUAUCUUCAAUUGUUCUCAGUAUAGAGGAGGUAAUAAACAAAGCGUGUCGGAUAAUUGUUUCUCGCGGCACCGCACAUACUUUUAUAGUUCCAGGCUUUUGCACACUGAAUUAUAUUAAUGUGCUCCUAUAAAAUAACUCCAUAAAGUAGUGAUCUCUUUCACAUUCUUGAACAUCAUCUGUUGGGACAUGUUAUUGCUUUGUCCCGUACAACAGGCACAAAUGGAUAGCGCUUACAGUCUUUAAAAAAAC